Molecule: small RNA, 60 nt
Filed under: Arabidopsis thaliana (thale cress)
Lineage: Eukaryota; Viridiplantae; Streptophyta; Magnoliopsida; Brassicales; Brassicaceae
Description: ATSL162850
Source: RNAcentral
AGUAGAGUUUCCAUGCGAGAAGAUACAAAGCCAAAGACUCAUACGGACUUCGACAUCACC